RNAcentral lists this unclassified non-coding RNA (328 nucleotides) under soil metagenome. Its description in RNAcentral is "partial contains 5.8S ribosomal RNA, internal transcribed spacer 2, and large subunit ribosomal RNA". The stretch from base 1 to 120 matches the Rfam family "5.8S ribosomal RNA", at positions 35 to 154 of the family's 154-position model. The record is from RNAcentral.
GAUGAAGAACGCAGCGAAAUGCGAUACGUAAUGUGAAUUGCAGAAUUCAGUGAAUCAUCGAAUCUUUGAACGCACAUUGCGCCCCUUGGUAUCCCGAGGGGCAUGCCUGUUCGAGCGUCAUUUCACCACUCAAGCCUGGCUUGGUGUUGGGCGACGUCCCCUUUAGGGACGCGCCUCGAAACGCUCGGCGGCGUGGCACCGGCUUUAAGCGUAGCAGAAUCUUUCGCUUUGGAAGUCGGGGCCCCGCCUGCCGGAAUACCUACUCGUAAGGUUGACCUCGGAUCAGGCAGGGAUACCCGCUGAACUUAAGCAUAUCAUAAGCGGAGGA